RNAcentral lists this ribosomal RNA (1438 nucleotides) under metagenome. Its description in RNAcentral is "bacterial SSU rRNA". It matches the Rfam family "Archaeal small subunit ribosomal RNA". The record is from RNAcentral.
CCCGUUGAUCCUGCGGGAGGUUGCCACUAUUUGGAUUCGACUAAGCCAUGCAAGUCAAGGGGUCUCCUCGGAGACACCGGCGAAAUGCUCAGUAACACGUUGAUAAUCUGCCUUUAGGUCAGGGAUAGCCUCGGGAAACUGAGAGUAAAACCUGAUAAAAGAUUAGUUCUGGAAUGACUUUUCUUUGAAAAGCAAUGCCUAAAGAUGAGUCAGCGGUCGAUUAGGCUGUUGGUGAGGUAAUGGCUCACCAAACCGAAGAUCGAUACGGGCCUUGAGAGAGGUAGCCCGGAGAAGGACACUGAGAUACUGGUCCUAGCCCUACGGGGUGCAGCAGGCGCGAAACCUUUACAAUGCACGAAAGUGUGAUAAGGGAAUCCAAAGUGCUUAUGUUUUAACAUGGGCUUUUGCCAAGAGUAAAUAUCUUGGAGAAUAAGUGAUGGGUAAGACUGGUGCCAGCAGCCGCGGUAACACCAGCGUCACGAGUGGGAAUCGUAUUUAUUUGGCCUAAAGCGUCCGUAGCCGGUCUGAUAAAUUCAUUGUGAAAUCAUUGUGCUCAACGCAAUGGCGUGCAGUGAACACUGUCAGACUUGAGACUGGAAGGAGCUAGAAGUAUUCUUGGGGGAGCGGUAAAAUGCUAUAAUCCCAAGAGGACUACCUGUGGCGAAGGCGUCUAGCUAGUACAGUUCUGACGGUCAGGGACGAAAGCUAGGGGAGCGAUCCGGAUUAGAUACCCGAGUAGUCCUAGCUGUAAACGCUGCGAGUUAGGUGUUGCAUAUUCCACGAGAAUGUGCAGUGUCGAAGAGAAGUCGUUAAACUCGCCGCCUGGGAAGUAUGGUCGCAAGGCUGAAACUUAAAGGAAUUGGCGGGGGAGCACCACAAGGGGUGCGGCGUGCGGUUUAAUCUAAUUCAACGCAGAGAACCUUACCAGAGGCGACGGCAGAAUGAAGGUCGGGUUGAAGACUCUACCUGACGAGCCGAGAGGUAGUGCAUGGCCGCCGUCAGCUCGUGCCGCAAGGUGUCCUGUUAAGUCAGGCAACGAGCGAGACCUGUAUUCAUAAUUGCUAGCAGCUUCUUCGAAGGACUGAGCACAUUAUGAGGACUGCCCUGGAAACAGGGAGGAAGGUUCAGGCUACGGUAGGUCUGUAUGCUCCGAAUCCCCUGGGCAACACGCGCGCAACAAUGGUAUGGACAAUGGGUUACGACUCCGAAAGGAGAAGUUAAACCUCGAAACCAUACCCAAGUACAGAUUGGGGCUUGCAACCCAGCCUCAUGACGAUGGAAUCCCUAGUAAUCGGAUGUCAACAUCAUCCGGUGAAUAUGUCCCUGCUCCUUGUUCACACCGCCCGUCAAACCACUCGAGCAGGGUUUAGGUGAGUGUUAGCUUUAUUGGUUAAUACGAACCUAAGCUCAGUGAGAUGGGUUAAGUCGUCACAAGGUA